GCGGGAAUAGCUCAGUGGUAGAGCACAACCUUGCCAAGGUUGGGGUCGCGGGUUCGAGUCCCGUUUCCCGCU
Molecule: transfer RNA, 72 nt
Filed under: Candidatus Rokuibacteriota bacterium
Lineage: Bacteria; Candidatus Rokuibacteriota
Description: Candidatus Rokubacteria bacterium (groundwater metagenome) tRNA-Gly
Rfam family: tRNA
About the family: Transfer RNA (tRNA) molecules are approximately 80 nucleotides in length. Their secondary structure includes four short double-helical elements and three loops (D, anti-codon, and T loops). Further hydrogen bonds mediate the characteristic L-shaped molecular structure. tRNAs have two regions of fundamental functional importance: the anti-codon, which is responsible for specific mRNA codon recognition, and the 3' end, to which the tRNAs corresponding amino acid is attached (by aminoacyl-tRNA synthetases). tRNAs cope with the degeneracy of the genetic code in two manners: having more than one tRNA (with a specific anti-codon) for a particular amino acid; and 'wobble' base-pairing, i.e. permitting non-standard base-pairing at the 3rd anti-codon position.
Source: RNAcentral